AGGACGAACGCUGGCGGCGUGCCUAACACAUGCAAGUCGAACGGACGAAGGGAGCUUGCUCCCCUAGUUAGUGGCGAACGGGUGAGUAACGCGUGAGCAACCUGCCUUUCAGAGGGGGGACAACGGUUGGAAACGACCGCUAAUACCGCAUGAAGCAUUCGGACCGCAUGAUCUGAAUGCCAAAGAUUUAUCGCUGAAAGAUGGGCUCGCGUCUGAUUAGAUAGUUGGUGGGGUAACGGCCUACCAAGUCGACGAUCAGUAGCCGGACUGAGAGGUUGAACGGCCACAUUGGGACUGAGAUACGGCCCAGACUCCUACGGGAGGCAGCAGUGGGGAAUAUUGGGCAAAUGGGGGAAACCCUGACCCAGCAACGCCGCGUGAAGGAAGAAGGCUUUCGGGUUGUAAACUUCUUUUACCGAGGACGAAGAACGUGACGGUACUCGGAGAAAAAGCCACGGCUAACUACGUGCCAGCAGCGGC
This 480-nucleotide ribosomal RNA is filed under the name uncultured bacterium. Its description in RNAcentral is "bacterial SSU rRNA". It matches the Rfam family "Bacterial small subunit ribosomal RNA", at positions 26 to 518 of the family's 1533-position model. The record is from RNAcentral.